Molecule: ribosomal RNA, 1031 nt
Filed under: marine metagenome
Description: bacterial SSU rRNA
Rfam family: Bacterial small subunit ribosomal RNA
Source: RNAcentral
AGAGGUUGAUCAUGGCUCAGAUUGAACGCUGGCGGUAGGCUUAACACAUGCAAGUCGUGCGAGAAAGUAUCUUCGGAUAUGAGUAGAGCGGCGGACGGGUGAGUAACGCGUAGGAAUCUACCUAGUAGAAGGGGAUAGCCCGAGGAAACUCGGAUUAAUACCGUAUACCUCCUUCGGGAGAAAGAAGGCCUCUCUUUGAAGCUUUCGCUACUAGAUGAGCCUGCGUAAGAUUAGCUUGUUGGUGAGGUAAAGGCUCACCAAGGCAACGAUCUUUAGCUGGUCUGAGAGGACGAUCAGCCACAUUGGGACUGAGACACGGCCCAGACUCCUACGGGAGGCAGCAGUGGGGAAUAUUGGACAAUGGGCGCAAGCCUGAUCCAGCCAUACCGCGUGUGUGAAGAAGGCCUUCGGGUUGUAAAGCACUUUAAGCAGGGAGAAAAAGUUAUAAGCUAAUACCUUAUAACCUUGAUGUUACCUGCAGAAUAAGCACCGGCUAAUUCCGUGCCAGCAGCCGCGGUAAUACGGAAGGUGCAAGCGUUAAUCGGAAUUACUGGGCGUAAAGCGCGCGUAGGUGGUUUGUUAAGUUGGAUGUGAAAGCCCUGGGCUCAACCUAGGAACUGCAUCCAAAACUAACUCACUAGAGUACGAUAGAGGGAGGUAGAAUUCACAGUGUAGCGGUGGAAUGCGUAGAUAUUGUGAAGAAUACCAAUGGCGAAGGCAGCCUCCUGGAUCUGUACUGACACUGAGGUGCGAAAGCGUGGGUAGCGAACAGGAUUAGAUACCCUGGUAGUCCACGCCGUAAACGAUGUCAACUAUCUGUUGGAAAGCAUUGCUUUUCAGUGGAGCAGCUAACGUAAUAAGUUGACCGCCUGGGGAGUACGGCCGCAAGGCUAAAACUCAAAUGAAUUGACGGGGACCCGCACAAGCGGUGGAGCAUGUGGUUUAAUUCGAUGCAACGCGAAAAACCUUACCUACUCUUGACAUACUUGGAAGCUCUUGUAAUGAGAGCUGUUCUUUAUACACAUCUGAAG